This 332-nucleotide ribosomal RNA is filed under the name uncultured eukaryote. RNAcentral describes it as "partial 18S ribosomal RNA". It matches the Rfam family "Eukaryotic small subunit ribosomal RNA", at positions 1470 to 1796 of the family's 1831-position model. The record is from RNAcentral.
CCCUUAGAUGUUCUGGGCCGCACGCGCACUACACUGAUGCAUUCAACGAGUAAUCUUUGACCUUGGUCGACAGAUCUGGGUAAUCUUUUGAAAUUGCAUCGUGAUGGGGCUUGCGGGUUGCAAUUACCCGCACCAACGAGGAAUUCCUAGUAAACGCAAGUCAUCAACUUGCAUUGAUUACGUCCCUGCCCUUUGUACACACCGCCCGUCGCUCCUACCGAUUGAGCGGUCCGGUGAAGACUCAGGAGAUGGGCGCGUGCUUGGUUCGCCAACUGCGCUGCCUGCCAAAUUUGUCUAAACCUUAUCGCUUAGAGGAAGGAGAAGUCGUAACA